This is a long non-coding RNA of Anas platyrhynchos (mallard), 5102 nucleotides long. RefSeq lists it as uncharacterized. NCBI's taxonomy places the organism in Eukaryota, Metazoa, Chordata, Aves, Anseriformes, Anatidae. The record is from RefSeq and is a predicted model, not a curated record.
AUCAGCACAAAAAAUCACUAGAAAGAACCGGUCAUUGGCCUUCCCAAAGCGAUGUGCUGAAUUUCUCUCUUGAAGAAUGAGCCUGCACUUUGCUUUCGCUUCCAGCGGCUGGGGAAAUGUCAAGGCACGAUGAGUCACGCUGCAGAUCGGAUCUGAGUACCUUCUUGUGCUCUUCUUACUGACUGUGCAGUGGUGAGAUUACAGAACUCAAUAUGGAUAUGACGAGACUGAAAACAAGAUGUGGGUCUUCUCCAGGAAGUGAAGGUCUACAAGUGAUCUAGGUUUUUUACCCUUCCUGAAGAUGCAAAAUACACUGAAGAAUACAUACUGAUCCUUAAACUCUAAGACAACCUGCUCCUUGGCAGAAUCCGAAGGAAGAGAGUCAUAGGGACUGUUUAUUUUUGUUUUAUUCUAAGACAUAGUAAUUACUUGGCUUCCUUUUAUAAAACACCUGCAUACAUUGUGCUGCAUUACUGAUCCAAAACUUGGCUUUUUAAUGUGGUUGCUCUUGCCUGCUUAUAUUUCCAUUUCUCUGGGCAUGUGUAUACGUUAUUAUACUUUUUUCUCUAUUUAAUGUUUUUCCACUGGUUUCUCUGUUUUUACUUUUCCAGAGCUGAAUAACCAAAGUUUAUAUAGUCUAGAAGAAUAGACUUCUAAGUUAGAACUUAUUUCAUAAUACUUUGCUGUCUUAUAUUUCUCUUUUUUUUUUUUUUUUUUUUUCUCCACAUUUGGUAAUGUCUCAAAGUCCAUGUGCCAAACAUUGUAUAAAUAGGAGUAGUCAUGAUGGUGCCCUAAACAGCUUACAGUUUAAUUAAAGACAGGAAAACAAGAACUAAUUGUAAAACAAUAGGAAAGAGACUGAGGGCAAUUGUAAAAAUGUCAUGUAUUUAAAUAAGCUCAAUGUGAACAGUUUGUGCACAGCUCCAAAUCAGAAGUCUAAUGGCUUUGACACAUGCUUUCCAUGAAAUCAUGUGGUACCCUAAUAUUUUCUCUGUCUUCUGUCCUUCUCUUUGCCACUCAUGGUGAAGCUGUUCAUCUGUACUGUGCUCUGUCCCUCCUGUGUUCUCCUACCACUCUGCUACCUGGAAGUGUUGGGAUCCACAUGGUACUACCAUCCAGAUAGUAUGGUGACAUAGAGGAGCUGUACCACCUGCAGUCAGAAGAGAAUCUCCUGAGGUGUUCACCCCUCCUCAGGUCUGUUCUUUGGAGCAAAAAGUAUUCUUAGCUUAUAUAUUCCGAGCUGUUCCCAUCUGUAUUAUCUCUUUUGUGUGAGUAGCCUUACUGUGAGAGCCUCAUAACCUUUCAUGUAACGAUUAUGCUUUGAGGGACAUGACUGUUGUCAUAUAUCCUCUGCAGGUGAGUAAGCAAAAGUCUUCAUGCUGAAGAUGCCCUAGCAUGUCUUCCAUGCGGUACAUUCUACAGCACUGCAAAGGCAUGGCAGUCUUCCAAAAAAUUAGCACUCCUCUUUGCUCAGCUGCUGUCCUUGGAGGUGCUGCAGGGAUCUCCGCUCUCAUCUCCUUGGAAGAGAUAUCAAAAAUUCCCAGGCUGAACAUCUUCUAAUACCCUACUACCAGUCUUAAUCUGGCCAGAUAGGACUAAAAACAGAAGGUGUCACUAUUUCACAAAGAGAUUAGUGCCUACAUGAGGGGCACAGAGAGUUGCAGGAGAGAAGAAGGCAAGACAGAAGCAAUACUAUUUUGAGGAGGAAAAGAAUUUGAAAGGCUAUGUGAGGCAGUUUGUUGGUGGUGCCAAUUCCUAAGGCAGUGUUUGCCUCUGCUCACACUGAUCUUCAUAAAGGUCCAUUUCACAGCAACCUUCCAGGCGAGGAAGUCCCCUCCCAUCCAUAAAUGAUGCUCCAGCCAAGGGUCACCGGAGAGUGAUGCUUGGUGCCUGCACUGCCUUCACUGGAAUGAGCACGUUAGCCUACCCUAGGACAAGAACAAUAGAGGCAUCCAGGCUGGGAUGGAUGCCUGCAGGGUGGUGAUCAGGCUAAUAUGGAGCACUGUGCUGGGCUUUGCCUCUCCAUUAUCUCUUGAAAGGAUGCUCUGCACUGAAGCUAGGGAAAGAAAGAUGAAAGCCUUGACAAAUGAUUAUUUUUUUUUAAAUGUUCCCAUUUAAAGACAGACCUUUAUAUCUCAGCAGCAAUUUUCCUUCCAAGGAAAUUUAUAUUUGAUUGCUUCUCUGACCUCUUUUUUUAAUUAGUUUCAGAUACUUAUUGUGUCUUUAGUGGUUCUUUGCCUGAGGUGGAGAUGGUAUUUGUUUUUCUAAAUUGCAUUGAUACUGAUUUCAAAUGUGGCAUAUUUUCCAUUGUCAUGUGGUACUUUCCCUCUAAAGAUCCAUUCGUUCUUUCUCAACCAAAACAAAUUUAUGCAUUUUGAUAUAUACAAAAAAAUAGCUAUAUAUAAAUAUGAUAUUUUAUAUGAAGAAUAUUUCUCCUCUGAGCAAUUUCUCAGAUUUUAAUAGAGAAAAUAAAUUAGUUUUGUCCUUUGAAAUGUCUUCCUCCUUACCAUUUUAAGAGUUGACUAAAUUCAAUAGGGUUUAUUUCAAUAACUGGAAGAUAUAUACAGGCCAUUGCAUAAAUCCUCUUGCUUUCAUUUUAAUCAAAAUGUUUUUAUUUCUCUCAUCUGCUUAAUGAACAUGUAUGACUCUUCUAGCAUAUUGUUCCAUUGUUCCUCUUCCUCGUGUGCAAAGAGGACAUCCAUCAAUUAAGUCUUACAGGCCAACCUACUGAAUUUAAAGGUUUCCCUAGUUCUUUGUGAAAACCAAUUACCUAAAAUUUCUGACUAAAAUAGUUUAAAAUGUCUUUUUAGGGUGUUCUAUUUUAAAGUAAAAGUUUUUUAAACUAUUUAUUUGCAGAAGUGGUGCUUAUAACUGAUACAAGGAAUUAGAAAAAAAUAAUAAUUUGAUUAUCAUAAAACAAGAGUUGCCUAUACAUAUAGGUCAUGACGUAAAAUCACAUGAUUGUGCUGCAGCUGCUGGAAUUCCAUAAAAAAGCAUGUCUUCAGUGAGUAUUUUCCUAUCACUUUUAUCAAAGGACCUAACAACAAAGAUUUUGUAGAGGUUUCUCAGUAUAUCAUGGCUGAUUUUACUUUUUGUUUUGGCUAACAAAAAAAAAAAAAAAAGUGUGGCUCUGUUGUUUUGUUGUUGUGUUUGUUUGUUUUUGUUUUCCACACACUGAGCAUUAAAUGAUUUUUUUUUUUUUUUAAUUUGCACACUCAGCAUGUACAAAAGGGUGUAGCUUUGUUGAAUUCUACAGGGGACUCUGAUGAAUACCAUGUCCUAGUCAACAUUAUAUGGAGUUUGACUCUAUAUGCACACACAUUUUUGGUUAUCAAAGGAAGCUUCACCUUGAUUUAAAAUAGACCCAGGCUAAUGUGCCUGAGGGAUAAGUUGCAGCGCAGAAGCAAUAAACACAUGAAAAUACUGUGAAAUUUUAAAAUCUUUAUUAUAACUGAAUUAAAUGAUUUAUUAAUAGUAAAUGUUUUGAGAGUUUAAAAGUUGACUGGGUUGUUCUGUGCAAGUGUCAGAGGUGUCUAUAGUGUCAUUAUAGUGUAAACUCUAAAAGUUAACUCUAGUGUUAACUCCAAAGUGACAUAAGAAGGGAGAUUUCUGACAGCAUUGGAGCAAUGGAAAUGUCCAGGUUUUUGGUCUGGUUUUACACAAACAGAAGCUGUCUUAUGUUCAGUGGAAACUUUGUUCUUGAACUGUAUAAAGUGCUUGCACUUGUCAUGAACCGUGUAAAUAUAAUUCAAACUAAAGUAAAGCUUAUGACAGCUGAAGUUGGCAAUAUGUUGCUUUGCAUAAGUGAACCAUCAUGUCUUCUAUUUCUUUUAUACCCAUUGUAUAAAAUAAUUCACAACACUCAUAUAACAUGAGGCAAAACCCUAAGGUGCUGGAAACAGGAAACAUAACUGCACUUAUUUUUUGACUUUCAUCCUUCUGAAACAAUACUUUCAGUCAUGCUUAGUAUCUUGUUUAAAAACUUGAAACUGUUUACUUAUGGUUCUCAUUAGUAAUAACUUUUAAGUAGGACCUAAUACAAAGGAAAAUUCCUUCUAGUGGCAAAACUAUUAGAAUUAUUCCAAAUGUAUAUUGCUGGAAAUCAUUUGGCCAUAACAGAGUAAUAGCAUUACAGAGACCAGAAUUUGGCUGUCUUUGGAUUUAUUUUAAUGCAAAAUUUCUGCAGCAGAGCUGUAGUUUUUAUGUAUUUUUGAUUACAUCAUGUUUUGCUCUCCACAAGCCAGCCUGUGCUCCUUUGCAAUUUUGGUGAGUUUUGUCACUGAAAUUACUCGGGUUUUGUUUGUUUGUUUGAGUACUUUGACAAUUUUAUGGAUCUCAAUUGUUUUGUUCUUUAUUACAUUUUAUAACACUGUUCCAUAGGAGUACAUCAUUAAAUGUUCUGUUGACAAUGGAACCAAUGAAAAAUAUGAAGCAGAGCUAUCAGAUACAAUAAUCGUCUGUCCCCAAACCUUCUUCUACAACACUGUUAUUUUUUUUAAUUUUUUUUUUUUUUUUGACUGUAGUUAUCUUCAUCGAAUCAUAAAACGGUUUGGGUUGGAGGAGACCAUAAAGAUCAUCUAUGUCAACCCCCCCUGUCAUGAAAAGGGGUGCUAUCCACUAGAUCAGGUUGUCCAGGCUGGCCUUGAAUACCUCCAGGGAUGGGGCAUCCACAACUUCUCUGGGCAACCUGUUCUAGUGCCUCACCACCCACAUAGCCCAAGAGAUUAUUUAUUUUGGAAAGCUAUACUGAAAAACUUUUUUAUAUUUGCAUACAUUAAGAACAUUUUCUAUAAGUAGUAAUGCAUGGUCUUUAAUGAUAUUUUGAAGUACUUUUUGAAUUAAAGCACUAAAUUGUUAUUAUUUUUCGUCAGGAAUAAAGAAAUUAGAUUAUUUAUAUUAGAUUAUAUUAGAUUACUCUCACUAUUAAUAUGAGUUAUGUAAAACUGAAGAUCUGUGUCUGACUCAUAGAAGUAAUGUUGUAUAUUCUGAAAGGACAUAGAGAUAUAAAAUGUAAAACCAAGACUAUAUAUGAAAGCUGUCACAAAGAACAUAGAUACCAAUUAAAUGUUUGUGUAAAUAAAUUAAACUGGAAAUCACAUAAA